CCUUCUCCUAAGCUUUUUAACAACCUUCGGUGGCGUCACAGCAGUUUCCCGUGAAGGUAGUUUUUCUUCUUUCUCUGUUACUGUGAUUUCAUUCGUUUCAUUGGCUGGCAGAAUCUCCUUUGUUAUCUCUGUUCGUUCUGUUAUCAGAGGUCCAUCGCCAUUUUCGGUAACAUUCUUAGUCUCCACAGAAGUCUCCUUAAUGGUUUCCUGUGAAGGUAGUUUUUCUUCUUUCUCUGUUACUACAACGUCAUUCGUUUUAUUGUCGGGCAGAAUCUCCUUUGUUAUCUCUGUUCGUUCUGUUAUCAGAGGUCCAUCGACAUUUUCUGUAACAUUCUUAGUCUCGAGAGAAGUCUCCUUAAUGGUUUCCUGUGAAGGUAGUUUUUCUUCUUUUUCUGUUACUACAACUUCAUUCGUUUUAUUGCCGGGCAGAAUCUCCUUUGUUAUCUCUGUUCGUUCUGUUAUCAGGGGUCCAUCGACAUUUUCUGUAACAUUCUUAGUCUCGAGAGAAGUCUCCUUAAUGGUUUCCUGUGUAGGUAGUUUUUCUUCUUUUUCUGUUACUUCAACUUCAUUCGUUUUAUUGCCGGGCAGAAUCUCCUUUGUUAUCUCUGUUCGUUCUGUUAUCAGAGGUCCAUCGACAUUUUCGGUAACAUUCUUAGUCUCGAGAGAAGUCUCCUUAAUGGUUUCCUGUGAAGGUAGUUUUUCUUCUUUUUCUGUUACUACAACUUCAUUCGUUUUAUUGCCGGGCAGAAUCUCCUUUGUUAUCUCUGUUCGUUCUACUUUAUGAGGUCCAUCGCUCUUUUCUGUUGCGUUCCUUCCCUCCACAAAUGUCAUCGUAAUGCUUUUCUGUGAAGGUAGUUUUUCUUCUUUCUCUGUUACUAAAGUUUCAUUCGUUUUAUUACCGGGCAGAAUCUCCUUUGUUAUCUCUGUUCGUUCUGUUAUCAGAGGUCCAUCGCCAUUUUCUGUAACAUUCUUAGUCUCCACAGAAGUCUCCUUAAUGGUUUCCUGUGAAGGUAGUUUUUCUUCUUUUUCUGUUACUACAACUUCAUUCGUUUUAUUGCCGGGCAGAAUCUCCUUUGUUAUCUCUGUUCGUUCUACUUUAUGAGGUCCAUCGCUCUUUUCUGUAGCGUUCCUCCCCUCCACAAAUGUCAUCGUAAUGCUGUUCUGUGAAGGUAGUCUUUCUUCUUUCUCUGUUACUAAAGUUUCAUUCGUUUUAUUGCCUGGCAGAAUCUCCUUUGUUACCUCUGUUCGUUCU
Eriocheir sinensis (Chinese mitten crab) is the source of this 1252-nucleotide long non-coding RNA. RefSeq lists it as uncharacterized. The record is from RefSeq and is a predicted model, not a curated record. The transcript is spliced from 5 exons. NCBI's taxonomy places the organism in Eukaryota, Metazoa, Arthropoda, Malacostraca, Decapoda, Varunidae.